UAAGUGGGAAACGAUGUGGGAAGGCCCAGACAGCCAGGAUGUUGGCUUAGAAGCAGCCAUCAUUUAAAGAAAGCGUAAUAGCUCACUGGUCGAGUCGGCCUGCGCGGAAGAUGUAACGGGGCUAAACCAUGCACCGAAGCUGCGGCAGCGACGCUUAUGCGUUGUUGGGUAGGGGAGCGUUCUGUAAGCCUGCGAAGGUGUGCUGUGAGGCAUGCUGGAGGUAUCAGAAGUGCGAAUGCUGACAUAAGUAACGAUAAAGCGGGUGAAAAGCCCGCUCGCCGGAAGACCAAGGGUUCCUGUCCAACGUUAAUCGGGGCAGGGUGAGUCGACCCCUAAGGCGAGGCCGAAAGGCGUAGUCGAUGGGAAACAGGUUAAUAUUCCUGUACUUGGUGUUACUGCGAAGGGGGGACGGAGAAGGCUAUGUUGGCCGGGCGACGGUUGUCCCGGUUUAAGCGUGUAGGCUGGUUUUCCAGGCAAAUCCGGAAAAUCAAGGCUGAGGCGUGAUGACGAGGCACUACGGUGCUGAAGCAACAAAUGCCCUGCUUCCAGGAAAAGCCUCUAAGCAUCAGGUAACAUCAAAUCGUACCCCAAACCGACACAGGUGGUCAGGUAGAGAAUACCAAGGCGCUUGAGAGAACUCGGGUGAAGGAACUAGGCAAAAUGGUGCCGUAACUUCGGGAGAAGGCACGCUGAUAUGUAGGUGAAGUCCCUCGCGGAUGGAGCUGAAAUCAGUCGAAGAUACCAGCUGGCUGCAACUGUUUAUUAAAAACACAGCACUGUGCAAACACGAAAGUGGACGUAUACGGUGUGACGCCUGCCCGGUGCCGGAAGGUUAAUUGAUGGGGUCAGCGCAAGCGAAGCUCUUGAUCGAAGCCCCGGUAAACGGCGGCCGUAACUAUAACGGUCCUAAGGUAGCGAAAUUCCUUGUCGGGUAAGUUCCGACCUGCACGAAUGGCGUAAUGAUGGCCAGGCUGUCUCCACCCGAGACUCAGUGAAAUUGAACUCGCUGUGAAGAUGCAGUGUACCCGCGGCAAGACGGAAAGACCCCGUGAACCUUUACUAUAGCUUGACACUGAACAUUGAGCCUUGAUGUGUAGGAUAGGUGGGAGGCUUUGAAGUGUGGACGCCAGUCUGCAUGGAGCCGACCUUGAAAUACCACCCUUUAAUGUUUGAUGUUCUAACGUUGACCCGUAAUCCGGGUUGCGGACAGUGUCUGGUGGGUAGUUUGACUGGGGCGGUCUCCUCCUAAAGAGUAACGGAGGAGCACGAAGGUUGGCUAAUCCUGGUCGGACAUCAGGAGGUUAGUGCAAUGGCAUAAGCCAGCUUGACUGCGAGCGUGACGGCGCGAGCAGGUGCGAAAGCAGGUCAUAGUGAUCCGGUGGUUCUGAAUGGAAGGGCCAUCGCUCAACGGAUAAAAGGUACUCCGGGGAUAACAGGCUGAUACCGCCCAAGAGUUCAUAUCGACGGCGGUGUUUGGCACCUCGAUGUCGGCUCAUCACAUCCUGGGGCUGAAGUAGGUCCCAAGGGUAUGGCUGUUCGCCAUUUAAAGUGGUACGCGAGCUGGGUUUAGAACGUCGUGAGACAGUUCGGUCCCUAUCUGCCGUGGGCGCUGGAGAACUGAGGGGGGCUGCUCCUAGUACGAGAGGACCGGAGUGGACGCAUCACUGGUGUUCGGGUUGUCAUGCCAAUGGCACUGCCCGGUAGCUAAAUGCGGAAGAGAUAAGUGCUGAAAGCAUCUAAGCACGAAACUUGCCCCGAGAUGAGUUCUCCCUGACUCCUUGAGAGUCCUGAAGGAACGUUGAAGACGACGACGUUGAUAGGCCGGGUGUGUAAGCGCAGCGAUGCGUUGAGCUAACCGGUACUAAUGAACCGUGAGGCUUAACCU
Molecule: ribosomal RNA, 1885 nt
Filed under: Escherichia coli 1-392-07_S4_C3
Lineage: Bacteria; Pseudomonadati; Pseudomonadota; Gammaproteobacteria; Enterobacterales; Enterobacteriaceae
Description: bacterial LSU rRNA
Rfam family: Bacterial large subunit ribosomal RNA
Source: RNAcentral